This 465-nucleotide ribosomal RNA is filed under the name Vreelandella stevensii. RNAcentral's name for it is "partial 16S ribosomal RNA". It matches the Rfam family "Bacterial small subunit ribosomal RNA", at positions 338 to 795 of the family's 1533-position model. Lineage: Bacteria; Pseudomonadati; Pseudomonadota; Gammaproteobacteria; Oceanospirillales; Halomonadaceae. The record is from RNAcentral.
CCUACGGGUGGCAGCAGUGGGGAAUAUUGGACAAUGGGGGCAACCCUGAUCCAGCCAUGCCGCGUGUGUGAAGAAGGCCCUCGGGUUGUAAAGCACUUUCAGUGAGGAAGAACGCCUGGUGGUUAAUACCCAUCAGGAAAGACAUCACUCACAGAAGAAGCACCGGCUAACUCCGUGCCAGCAGCCGCGGUAAUACGGAGGGUGCGAGCGUUAAUCGGAAUUACUGGGCGUAAAGCGCGCGUAGGUGGCUUGAUAAGCCGGUUGUGAAAGCCCCGGGCUCAACCUGGGAACGGCAUCCGGAACUGUCAAGCUAGAGUGCAGGAGAGGAAGGUAGAAUUCCCGGUGUAGCGGUGAAAUGCGUAGAGAUCGGGAGGAAUACCAGUGGCGAAGGCGGCCUUCUGGACUGACACUGACACUGAGAUGCGAAAGCGUGGGUAGCAAACAGGAUUAGAUACCCUAGUAGUC